CCUACGGGCGGCAGCAGUGAGGAAUAUUGGUCAAUGGGCGAGAGCCUGAACCAGCCAAGUCGCGUGAGGGAAGACGGUCCUAUGGAUUGUAAACCUCUUUUGUCGGGGAGCAAAAGACGCCACGUGUGGCGUUUCGAGAGUACCCGAAGAAAAAGCAUCGGCUAACUCCGUGCCAGCAGCCGCGGUAAUACGGAGGAUGCGAGCGUUAUCCGGAUUUGUUGGGUUUAAAGGGUGCGCAGGCGGCCUGUUAAUUCAGCGGUAAAAGGCCGGGGCUCAACCCCGGCGAGCCGUUGAAACUGGGGGGCUGGAGUUGGAGAGAAGUACGCGGAAUGCGCGGUGUAGCGGUGAAAUGCUUAGAUAUCGCGCAGAACCCCGAUUGCGAAGGCAGCGUACCGGCUCCACACUGACGCUGAGGCACGAAAGCGUGGGUAUCGAACAGGAUUAGAUACCCGUGUAGUC
Molecule: ribosomal RNA, 459 nt
Filed under: uncultured bacterium
Lineage: Bacteria
Description: partial 16S ribosomal RNA
Rfam family: Bacterial small subunit ribosomal RNA
Source: RNAcentral